Molecule: ribosomal RNA, 253 nt
Filed under: uncultured bacterium
Lineage: Bacteria
Description: partial 16S ribosomal RNA
Rfam family: Bacterial small subunit ribosomal RNA
Source: RNAcentral
UACGUAGGGUGCGAGCGUUAAUCGGAAUUACUGGGCGUAAAGCGUGCGCAGGCGGUUUUGUAAGCCAGAUGUGAAAUCCCCGGGCUUAACCUGGGAAUGGCAUUUGGGACUGCAAGGCUCGAGUGCGGUAGAGGAGACUGGAAUUCCUGGUGUAGCAGUGAAAUGCGUAGAUAUCAGGAGGAACACCAAUGGCGAAGGCAGCACUCUGGGACGUGACUGACGCUGAGACGCGAAAGCGUGGGGAGCAAACAGG